Molecule: ribosomal RNA, 253 nt
Filed under: uncultured bacterium
Lineage: Bacteria
Description: partial 16S ribosomal RNA
Rfam family: Bacterial small subunit ribosomal RNA
Source: RNAcentral
UACAGAGGGUGCAAGCGUUAAUCGGAAUCACUGGGCUUAAAGCGUUCGUAGGCGGCUCUGUAGGCGCGUUGUGAAAGCCCUCGGCUCAACCGGGGAACUGCUUCGCGAACCACAGAUCUUGAGUCAAGUAGGGGCGAUCGGAACGAUAGGUGGAGCGGUGAAAUGCGUAGAUAUCUAGCGGAACGCCGAAGGUGAAGACAGGUCGCUGGGCUUGUACUGACGCUGAGGAACGAAAGCGUGGGGAGCAAACGGG